Oncorhynchus tshawytscha (Chinook salmon) is the source of this 1845-nucleotide long non-coding RNA. NCBI's taxonomy places the organism in Eukaryota, Metazoa, Chordata, Actinopteri, Salmoniformes, Salmonidae. The record is from Ensembl.
CAGUACUCUCCAUCAGGCCGCCGCUCUGAGCCCUUUGAAGUCCUCAUUUAACGUAGAGAGCUGCAUCUCUCACAUUUGACAAGACAGUUGGGAGCCGUCGAGUAAGCGCCUACAGAGAGUUAAUAUUCCAAAAUAAACAUUACAUUAAAGUUUUUUGGAAAGUGGUAGCCUAUAAUUGAGAGAGUUUAUAAAAAAAAUAUAGAUAUAAUAAUAAGUGGAAUAAAUAAAUAGGCACGCGCGUAAUGGCAAAUCUUUUUUCCAACAAAACCAUGAGGCUCAAGUGGAUGCGCGUGUCUCUUUUGAUCUUGGUUCUAUUCCUGGGUGACUCCCGCGGCUCCCAGGUGAAGUUUGGCCGCUUGGACCGGUGGGUGAAGACCGGGUUUCAGUACCUGAAGUUAAACCUGUGCCGCAGGGUAUCUCUGUCUGAGGGCGAAUGUAAGCGGCUGUCCCAUCUUCAGCUCAGCGGGGUGGCCGUGUACGUUUCCGAGCCAAACUCCGAAAAAGUACUCGCCAUUCUUCCAGAUUCCUAUUCUUCAGGGAUGCUACCGCCGAAGCAGGGCGGUUACGGGAUGAGUUCGGUACUGGAGGACAGUAGAAGACAUCACGAUUUCUUCCCGGGAUCGACUGCGCAUGAUGCCGUGUUGGUGUUGGAUCCCAGUCCCGGAGAGAGUUUCGGACAUCCUGUGGUUCUCUUUUAUGUGGACCUAAACACGACCAAGAAAAAAUGUGCACAUAUGGAUGGAAUUUAUUUAGGAGAGGAGUGUCUGACCCUGGCCCUAAAGAGUCGCUGUCAGAACCAGCUGAAGCGUCGUCAGAGCGGCAGUGAGAGGCUGGCGGGGAGCGGGCGCGCCCGCAGGGCUACCGUGUUGAGGCCCAGGAGCAGCCCGGGGAGGAUGGAGCGCAGCGGGGCUCUCUGUGAGAUACAUUUCCUUCCCAUGGUGGUCGGGGUCAGGGAUACCAACCGGACGCAGAGGCUACGAUGCGUGGACCACCCAGACUUUGCCCAGUGCCCCCAGCCUCUACCCCUCACCAGCCCCAACAUGCCAGUGUCCAGCUGUGAGCUCAACAAGAACACCAGGCGAUGCCACCAGCAGCCCCUGGCUACACACCUGUCCUGUCGUCUCUACCAGACCUGUGACCAUGCUAUACUACUCUCAGGUGGAUGGCAGCAACAGAUCACGUACCAGUGUCACGUUCAGAACCUACAGCUCUUCUACAGGAUGCUGAGGAACAACGGCUUCCACAGAGAUCACAUCAAGACCUUCUUCGCUGGGAACGGACAGCUCUCAGAGGAGUGGGUAUACCCAGCUACAGAGAAACGAGUGAUAAGGAACCACAUCUCUUAUAUCUGUGGGAAGCAGCACUGUGCAGACUCCCUGGUCCUCUACCUCAACAGCCCCACCAGGAACGACGGGACCAUGCUGCUCUGGGAUGGCAACUACAAUGGCAUAGCGGACCUGAAGGAGCGCUACAGUGUGGGAGAGCUGCUAGCGGACUUGGCAGGCUGCAGGGCGAGACGAGUACUAGUCUUCGUAGAGCAGAGUUACAGCGGGGUGCUCAGUAAGAGACUGAAAGCAUCUCUGAAACACCUGAACGUGGUGCUGCUCAACAUAGCCGACAGCUGGGCCUCGCUGCACCCAGCAACAUGCCUUAUAGACCACCUGAGUAAGGAUUCAGGGAUGUCCCGCCUCCCGACCCCAAAUCCAGCCUUUUGGAUGUCAACCUAUCUGGUGCGCCCUGUAACACAACUCCACCUCUGAGCGAAGCAGAGAUGAGGAAGGAGUACAUGGGCUGUCAGAACCUCCCCACCGCCCUGUGGUACCAGAACCACAACCAGAACCUCCC